Molecule: ribosomal RNA, 1695 nt
Filed under: Aesopia cornuta
Lineage: Eukaryota; Metazoa; Chordata; Actinopteri; Pleuronectiformes; Soleidae
Description: 16S ribosomal RNA
Rfam family: Bacterial large subunit ribosomal RNA
Source: RNAcentral
CACCAAAAAGCUAGCCCAAACCAACAAAACCAACAAACCAACAUUAAUACCCCCUAAUUUACACCCCCUCACCUAACUAAAAUAUUUUUUUCCUUAGUAUGGAAGACAGAACAGGACCUAUGGAGCUAUAGAAAAAGUACCGCAAGGGAAAGCUGAAAAAGAAAUGAAAAAAGCCAGUUAAGAAUAAAAAAGCAGAGAUUAAACCUCGUACCUUUUGCAUCAUGAUUUAGCCAGCAACUUCAAGCAAAGAGCCCUUUAGUUUGAAACCCCGAAACUGAGUGAGCUACUCCAGGCCAGCCUAAAAAAUAGGGCACACCCUUCUCUGUGGCAAAAGAGUGGGAAGAGCUUUGAGUAGAGGUGAUAAACCUACCGAACCCAGUUAUAGCUGGUUGCCUGGGAACUGAAUAUUAGUUCAGCCUCUCAACUUCUUCCCUCCAAAUCCCACAACAUUUAUUAAGGGACAAAAAGAAGAAGAGAGAGUUAGUCAAAGGGGGUACAGCCCCUUUGAAACAGACACAACUUUUUUAGGUGGGUAAGGAUUAUAUUUAUUCAAGGAAACAUGUUAAAGUGGGCCUAAAAGCAGCCAUCCUAACAAAAAGCGUUAAAGCUUAGACAUCAAAUUAUCCAGUUAUUCUAAUAUCUUACUCCAAACCCCCUAAUACUUACCAGGCCGCCCAUUAAAAUGGAAGCGACCAUGCUAAAAUGAGUAAUAAGGAAGCACCGCCCUCCUCAUAGCGCAUCUGUACAUCGGAAUGGACAAACCCCCGAAAAUCAACGGCCCCAAAACACAGCGGGCAUUAAAAACCCCCUUAAAAUGCUAGAAAAACUUUUAAGCUAAACCGGUAACCCCACACAGGAGCACACCUAAAUGAAAGACUAAAAGAAAAAGAAGGAACUCGGCAAAACCUAUAAGCCUCGCCUGUUUACCAAAAACAUCGCCUCUUGCCCCCCCCCGUAUAAGAGGUCCUGCCUGCCCGGUGACACUAAGUUAAACGGCCGCGGUAUUUUGACCGUGCAAAGGUAGCGCAAUCACUUGUCUUUUAAAUGAAGACCCGUAUGAAUGGCAAGACGAGGGCUUAACUGUCUCCUUUUUCCAGUCAAUGAAAUUGAUCUUCCCGUGCAGAAGCGGGAAUACGCCCAUAAGACGAGAAGACCCUGUGGAGCUUAAGACAAUAGAACCGCCCACGUCAAUCACUGCAAAAUAAAGCCAAACAAACUAAUUGGUUUCUGUUCUAAUGUUUUCGGUUGGGGCGACCAUGGGGAACAACAAAACCCCCACGUGGACUGGGAGUAACCUCCACACUCCUACAAAUCAGAGGGACACCUCUAGUUACCAGAACUUCUGACCUUAAAUGAUCCGGCAAUGCCGAUCAACGAACUAAGUUACCCCAGGGAUAACAGCGCAAUCCCCUUUUAGAGCCCAUAUCGACAAGGGGGUUUACGACCUCGAUGUUGGAUCAGGACAUCCUAGUGGUGCAGCAGCUACUAAGGGUUCGUUUGUUCAACGAUUAAAGUCCUACGUGAUCUGAGUUCAGACCGGAGCAAUCCAGGUCAGUUUCUAUCUAUGCUAUGUUCUCUUCUAGUACGAAAGGACCGAAGAGAAGAGGCCUAUGCCCCAAGCACGCCUCUCCCCUGCCCAAUGAAGAAAUCUAAACUGGACAAAAGGGCAUGCUUUAAGGGCAAAGAUAACGCCAU